Molecule: ribosomal RNA, 558 nt
Filed under: uncultured bacterium
Lineage: Bacteria
Description: bacterial SSU rRNA
Rfam family: Bacterial small subunit ribosomal RNA
Source: RNAcentral
CCUACGGGAGGCAGCAGUGGGGAAUCUUGCACAAUGGGGGAAACUCUGAUGCAGCGAUGCCGCGUGAGUGAAGAAGGCCUUUGGGUUGUAAAGCUCUUUUGUAGGGGAAGAUAAUGACUGUACCCUAAGAAUAAGGUCCGGCUAACUUCGUGCCAGCAGCCGCGGUAAUACGAAGGGACCUAGCGUAGUUCGGAAUUACUGGGCGUAAAGCGCGCGUAGGCCGUUGGGUUAGUUAAUUGUGAAAUCCCAAAGCUUAACUUUGGAACUGCAAUUAAAACUGCUCGACUAGAGUUUGAUAGAGGAAAGCGGAAUACAUAGUGUAGAGGUGAAAUUCGUAGAUAUUAUGUAGAACACCAGUUGCGAAGGCGGCUUUCUGGAUCAACACUGACGCUGAGGCGCGAAAGUAUGGGUAGCAAAGAGGAUUAGAUACCCUCGUAGUCCAUACCAUAAACGAUGAUUGCUAGAUGUUGGAAAUUUAUUUUCAGUAUCGCAGCUAACGCAUUAAGCAAUCCGCCUGGGGAGUACGACCGCAAGGUUAAAACUCAAAGGAAUUGACGG